RNAcentral lists this unclassified non-coding RNA (336 nucleotides) under soil metagenome. RNAcentral's name for it is "partial contains 5.8S ribosomal RNA, internal transcribed spacer 2, and large subunit ribosomal RNA". The stretch from base 1 to 120 matches the Rfam family "5.8S ribosomal RNA", at positions 35 to 154 of the family's 154-position model. The record is from RNAcentral.
GAUGAAGAACGUAGUGAAAUGCGAUAAGUAGUGUGAAUUGCAGAAUUCAGUGAAUCAUCGAAUCUUUGAACGCACAUUGCGCCCCUUGGUAUUCCAUGGGGCAUGCCUGUUCGAGCGUCAUUUGUACCUUCAAGCUUUGCUUGGUGUUGGGUGUUUGUCUCGCCUUUGCGUGUAGACUCGCCUUAAAAUAAUUGGCAGCCGGCGUAUUGAUUUCAGAGCGCAGUACAUCUCGCGCUUUGCACUCAUAACGACAGCGUCCAAAAGUACAUUUUACACUCUUGACCUCGGAUCAGGUAGGGAUACCCGCUGAACUUAAGCAUAUCAAUAAGCGGAGGA